Melospiza melodia melodia is the source of this 212-nucleotide long non-coding RNA. RefSeq lists it as uncharacterized. The record is from RefSeq and is a predicted model, not a curated record. Lineage: Eukaryota; Metazoa; Chordata; Aves; Passeriformes; Passerellidae. The transcript is spliced from 3 exons.
CCCGAAUGGAGAUGUUGGACUCGGCCGCUGGCUCCGCCCACAGGCAGGAGAAGGUGCAGGAGGCCGAGGAGGGGGCGGAGCUGCGCGAGGGUGAGGCCCCUCCAGGUGAGGGCGCCGUGGCCGUGCCCGGUCCCCCCGCGGGGUUUCCCGAGGGGGGGCUGCAGGGGCUGCAGGGGCUCCAGUGCCACUUCCGGAGCGACGCCACGGCGGCC